Molecule: ribosomal RNA, 323 nt
Filed under: uncultured eukaryote
Lineage: Eukaryota
Description: partial 18S ribosomal RNA
Rfam family: Eukaryotic small subunit ribosomal RNA
Source: RNAcentral
CCCUUAGAUGUCCUGGCUGCACGCGCGCUACACUGAUGUGUCCAGUAAGCACCUAACCUCUUCCGAAAGGAACGGGUAACCUUUGCAAAGCACAUCGUGAUGGGGAUAGAUUAUUGCAAUUAUUAGUCUUGAACGAGGAAUUCCUAGUAAGCACAAGUCAUCAGCUUGUGUUGAUUACGUCCCUGCCCUUUGUACACACCGCCCGUCGCUCCUACCGAUUGAAUGUUCCGGUGAGCUCUUCGGACUGCGCGGUCUGCAGUUUCUGCGUUCCGUGCGGAAAGUUGCGCAAACCUUAACAUUUAGAGGAAGGAGAAGUCGUAACA